Molecule: ribosomal RNA, 245 nt
Filed under: uncultured bacterium
Lineage: Bacteria
Description: partial small subunit ribosomal RNA
Rfam family: Bacterial small subunit ribosomal RNA
Source: RNAcentral
AGAAUCAACGCUGGCGGCGUGCCUAACACAUGCAAGUCGAACGAGAAAGUGGAGCAAUCCAUGAGUAAAGUGGCGCACGGGUGAGUAACACGUGACUAACCUACCCUUGAGCGGGGGAUAACCUAGAGAAAUCUGGGCUAAUACCGCAUAAUACCUUCGGGUCAAAGGAGCAAUUCGCUUAAGGAGGGGGUCGCGGCCGAUUAGUUAGUUGGCGGGGUAAUGGCCCACCAAGACUGUGAUCGGUA